CCUACGGGUGGCAGCAGUGAGGAAUAUUGGUCAAUGGGCGCGAGCCUGAACCAGCCAAGUCGCGUGAGGGAAGACGGUCCUAUGGAUUGUAAACCUCUUUUGUCGGGGAGCAAAAGACGCCACGCGUGGCGUUCCGCGAGUACCCGCAGAAAAAGCACCGGCUAACUCCGUGCCAGCAGCCGCGGUAAUACGGAGGAUGCGAGCGUUAUCCGGAUUUAUUGGGUUUAAAGGGUGCGCAGGCGGAAGAUCAAGUCAGCGGUAAAAUUGAGAGGCUCAACCUCUUCGAGCCGUUGAAACUGGGUUUCUUGAGUGAAUGAGAAGUAUGCGGAAUGCGUGGUGUAGCGGUGAAAUGCGUAGAUAUCACACAGAACACCGAUUGCGAAGGCAGCUUGCCAGGCUAUUACUGACGCUGAGGCACGAAAGCGUGGGGAGCGAACAGGAUUAGAUACCCUAGUAGUC
Molecule: ribosomal RNA, 459 nt
Filed under: uncultured bacterium
Lineage: Bacteria
Description: partial 16S ribosomal RNA
Rfam family: Bacterial small subunit ribosomal RNA
Source: RNAcentral